UACGUAGGGGCCGAGCGUUGUCCGGAGUUACUGGGCGUAAAGCGUGCGCAGGCGGCGCGUUCUGCCCGGCGUGAAAGCCCCCGGCUCAACCGGGGAACGUCGUCGGGGACGGGCGCGCUUGAGGGCGGCAGGGGCUGGUGGAACUCCCGGUGUAGUGGUGAAAUGCGUAGAGAUCGGGAAGAACACCUGUGGCGAAGGCGGCCAGCUGGGCCGGCCCUGACGCUGAGGCACGAAGGCGUGGGGAGCGAACGGG
Molecule: ribosomal RNA, 253 nt
Filed under: uncultured bacterium
Lineage: Bacteria
Description: partial 16S ribosomal RNA
Rfam family: Bacterial small subunit ribosomal RNA
Source: RNAcentral